This 68-nucleotide transfer RNA is filed under the name Abutilon theophrasti (China jute). RNAcentral's name for it is "tRNA-Val". It matches the Rfam family "tRNA". Rfam says of the family: Transfer RNA (tRNA) molecules are approximately 80 nucleotides in length. Their secondary structure includes four short double-helical elements and three loops (D, anti-codon, and T loops). Lineage: Eukaryota; Viridiplantae; Streptophyta; Magnoliopsida; Malvales; Malvaceae. The record is from RNAcentral. RNAcentral also lists the same sequence under 3 other names.
AGGGCUAUAGCUCAGUUGGUAGAGCACCUCGUUUACACAGGUCUACGGUUCGAGUCCGUAUAGCCCUA